RNAcentral lists this ribosomal RNA (253 nucleotides) under uncultured bacterium. RNAcentral's name for it is "partial 16S ribosomal RNA". It matches the Rfam family "Bacterial small subunit ribosomal RNA", at positions 524 to 776 of the family's 1533-position model. The record is from RNAcentral.
UACGUAGGGUGCAGGCGUUAAUCGGAAUUACUGGGCGUAAAGCGUGCGCAGGCGGUUUCUUAAGUCAGAUGUGAAAGCCCCGGGCUUAACCUGGGAACUGCGUUUGAAACUGGGAGACUAGAGUGUGGCAGAGGGGGGUGGAAUUCCACGUGUAGCGGUGAAAUGCGUAGAGAUGUGGAGGAACACCGAUGGCGAAGGCAGCCUCCUGGGCCAACACUGACGCUCAUGCACGAAAGCGUGGGGAGCAAACAGG